UACAGAGGGGGCAAGCGCUGUUCGGAAUUACUGGGCGUAAAGGGCGCGUAGGCGGCCACCGCAAGUCGACUGUGAAAUCUCCGGGCUUAACCCGGAAAGGUCAGCCGAUACUGCGGGGCUAGAGUGCAGAAGGGGCAACUGGAAUUCUCGGUGUAGCGGUGAAAUGCGUAGAUAUCGAGAGGAACACCUGCGGCGAAGGCGGGUUGCUGGGCUGACACUGACGCUGAUGCGCGAAAGCUAGGGGAGCGAACGGG
This 254-nucleotide ribosomal RNA is filed under the name uncultured bacterium. RNAcentral's name for it is "partial 16S ribosomal RNA". It matches the Rfam family "Bacterial small subunit ribosomal RNA", at positions 524 to 776 of the family's 1533-position model. The record is from RNAcentral.